This 229-nucleotide ribosomal RNA is filed under the name uncultured bacterium. Its description in RNAcentral is "partial 16S ribosomal RNA". It matches the Rfam family "Bacterial small subunit ribosomal RNA", at positions 568 to 796 of the family's 1533-position model. The record is from RNAcentral.
UGCGUAGGUGGGCAGGUAAGUCCGCGGUGAAAUCCCCGAGCUUAACUUGGGAACUGCCGUUGAUACUAUCUGUCUUGAAUAUCGUGGAGGUAAGCGGAAUAUGUCAUGUAGCGGUGAAAUGCUUAGAGAUGACAUAGAACACCAAUUGCGAAGGCAGCUUGCUACACGAUAAUUGACACUGAGGCACGAAAGCGUGGGGAGCGAACAGGAUUAGAUACCCUGGUAGUCC